RNAcentral lists this unclassified non-coding RNA (218 nucleotides) under soil metagenome. RNAcentral's name for it is "partial contains 5.8S ribosomal RNA, internal transcribed spacer 2, and large subunit ribosomal RNA". The record is from RNAcentral.
AACGGUCUAUACCUGCGGUACCUGCGGAAGGAUCAUUACAGAGUUCAUGCCCUCACGGGUAGAUCUCCCACCCUUGAAUACUAUACCUUUGUUGCUUUGGCGGGCCGCUUUGGCUACUGGCUCUGGCUAGUAAGUGCCCGCCAAAGAACCCCAAAACUCUGAAUAUUAGUGUCGUCUGAGUACUAUAUAAUAGUUAAAACUUUUAACAAUGGAUCUCU